Molecule: non-coding RNA, 219 nt
Organism: Oncorhynchus mykiss (rainbow trout)
Lineage: Eukaryota; Metazoa; Chordata; Actinopteri; Salmoniformes; Salmonidae
Source: RefSeq, a predicted model, not a curated record
UAGGGGUAGACAGGUAUAAUAUAUACAGGUAGGGGUAGACAGGUAUAUUAUAAUAAACAGGUAGAGGUAGACAGGUAUAAUAUACAGGUAGGAGUAGACUGGUAUAAUAUACAGGUAGGAGUAGACAUGUAUAAUAUACAGGUAAGUAGACAGGUAGGGUAGACGGGUAUAAUAUACAGGUAGGGUAGACGGGUAUAAUAUACAGGUAGGGUAGACAGG